Molecule: non-coding RNA, 68 nt
Organism: Salmo salar (Atlantic salmon)
Lineage: Eukaryota; Metazoa; Chordata; Actinopteri; Salmoniformes; Salmonidae
Source: Rfam
UCCUCUGUAGCUCAGUUGGUAGAGCAUGGUGUUCGCAACACCAGGAUAGUGGGUUCCAUUCCCAGGAC